Long non-coding RNA from Cyprinus carpio carpio, 3109 nucleotides. The record is from Ensembl. Lineage: Eukaryota; Metazoa; Chordata; Actinopteri; Cypriniformes; Cyprinidae.
UCAGGGCUAGGCUCAUGUAUAGCAAGAGAGAAGAGGGGGUCAGCUAGUAUCAUGUCUCUUUUAUGACUGGUACCUGGUGGGAUUCUCUACGAUUCCACCAGGCAGGGCGAGGUUGCCCACAGAGGAAUGUUGUUGCUGUUUUAAGUGACUAUUAAUACCUGCUGGCUUUCUUUCACUCAGGCCUCUAUUGCCUGGGGAUUCGAUUGGAUUGGAGCUGUAAAGACUUGUGUUCCAUGGGGCUGGUCCCAGGGGUAAAUUGAUGGGAGGCAGGACCCUCAUUCAGGCCCGGCAGGGGGCUUCAAUCGCAGGCCUGCCCUAGCCUUUGGGCUGCCCUGCUUCUGGCUGAAGAGGACCCAGCAGGAAAUGCUAUUCCAGUGGAGCUGCACCAGACAAAGUUCUCCACCCAACAGUUCCAGUCCCAUGUUUUUUGAGAGGUUUGAUAAUCAGCUCCUCACAGCCGCUGUGUCACUUAAAACACACAGAGUGCUGAAGGAAUGGGCGAGAAACAGCACUUCCCCAGCCUUAGAAACUCAAAAAAUAACAGGAGCUGUCAGUGUAAUCCCAAAAGGGCCAACAUGAGAAGUACAGGCCACUCUGGGUGAGUUUGAAGAGGUGAAGGUGAAGUCCUUCAUCUCUAGCAUUCAGAUGUGGUGGUGUGGCUAAGAGGAUGUUGGAUCCUUAUGCGUGUGUGUACUCCUUUUGCUUUGAACUUGAAGUUCAAGUUUGUUGAAAAAUUCACUUCUCACAGUCACCAUUGUGGUCUUGACUUCACACUAAUAAAUGGAAAGAGAACUCAAAAAAUCUAUGUCCCAGGGGUUGAUUUAAAAAAAAAAAAAACAUUUUAUUAAUUUAUUUAUUUAUUUAUGUUUUGUUACAUGACUGUCACAUUAAAACUGUUGACAAUUUCAUUUGUAAAAAACCACUGACAAUUACAUUUUUAACUUAUGUAAAUAAAGAAUGAAUUAAACAAUCAUUUAUUCAUUUAUUUAAUCUAUUUUGGAUGAAACAUUUAUAUACACUUUCACAAAAAAUUGUAAAUAAAUAAAUAUAUAUAUAUAUAUAUAGAACAGACCAAAAGUUUGGAAACAUUAGUAUUUUUAAUGUUUUUGAAAGAGGUUUCUUCUGCUCAUCAAGCCUGCAUUUAUUUGAUAAAAAAUACAGAAAAAAAAUGUAAUAUUGCGAUAUAUUAUUACAAUUUAAAAUAAUUGUUUUUAAAUUUAUUAUACUUUAAAUUAUCAUUGAUGCAAAGCUGAAUUUUUAGGAUCAUUAUCACAUGAUCCUUUAGAAAUCAUUCUAAUAUGAUUCAUUAUCAAAGUUGGAAACAGUUCUGCUGCUUAAUAUUUUUUCAGAACAUGUGAUACUUUUUUAGGAUACUUUGAUGAAUAAAAAAAGUAGAAGCUAUGUUUUUAAAAAUAUAAAUAUUUUUGUAAUAACAAUAUACACUACUGGUCAGUAAUUUGGUUUUUUUUUCUUUCUUUUUUUAAAAAUAAAAGCAAUACUUUUAUUCAGCAACGACGUGUUAAAUUGAUAAAAAGUGAUAGUAAAGAAAAUAUAUUAUUAGAAUAUAUAUUUUUAGAAUUUUUAUUUUUAUUUUGAAUAAAUGCAGUUCUUUUUAACCUUUUAUUCAUCAAAUAUAUUAGACAGCAGAACUGUUUCCAACACUCAUAAUAAAUCAGAAUAUUAGAAUGAUUUCUAAAUGAUCAUGUGAUAGACUGGAUGUUACAUGUGACACUGAAGGCUGGAGUAAUGAUGCUGAAAAUUCAGCUUUGCAUCACAGGAAUAAAUUAUUUUUUUUUUUAUGUAUAUUCAAAUAGAAAACUAUUAUUUUAAGUUGUAAUAAUAUUUCACAAUAUUACUGUUUUUUCUCUAUUUUUGAUCAAAUAAAUGCAGGCUUGAUGAGCAGAAGAAACUUCUUUCAAAAACAUUAAAAAUAGUAAUGUUUCCAAACUUUUGGUCUGUACUGUAUGUAUAUAUGUAUAUAUAUAUAUAUAUAUAUAUAUAUAUAUAUAUAUAUAUAUAUAUAUAUAUAUAUAUAUAAGCUGUAAACUUGUGAAAUUAUGCAAAAACUGUGGAAUUAUUCUAUUAAUUAUUAAUUCUGUGUGUCGGGGGAUAUAAAAUUAUACCUAUUGCAAUUAGCCACAGCAAGACAAGAGAGUCGGCUGUUAUGUUAAAAUGUUAUAUUCACCACAUAAUGAUUUCAAACACAUAAUUCCUAUAUGGUGGAAAUGAGACUGUGAAAAUGGCAUUGACGCUUCAGAAAAAUUACUCUUUGAGGUAUUUUCAAUGUUGGACACUGUAACUCAUUCAAUAAACUACAAAUGUAAGUCAGAACAGUUUAAAAUUUAAAAAUGUGAGUUUACAAAAGUAAAGUUUCCAGAGUUGACGUAACACUAAAUAUUCAAAAUAUAUGACUUUAUAUUCAUGUACGCAAUGUUUCCAACUGUUUGAUACUCAAAUAGGUCAAACAAGGUUCAUAAUCAGAUACGUACACUCAGUGUACUUUUAAAUGUUGAAAGACUGCAUGAGGAGAACAUCGAACGGGAAACAGCUGAAGCGGGCAGACAUGUUCCUGCAGUGUCUGACAGUCAAUGUGACACUUUCCUCUGUUUUCACAGGUGCCUGCUGCUGGUUGUUUUAGGCAGAAGUGAGAGCAUUAGAUUGAGCGAUAUGAGGAAAGAGGUGGACAGCCCACGUCAUCACCUGCCCAGGGUCAGGUCUCCACUCAGGUCUCUCAGUGUAUGACUGCUGAUCCAACAAGAGCACAAAGUGUACUUCCUCCACACAAAUUUCUGCAUCUUAGUCAUGAGAGUCAUAAAUCAGAUUUAUUAUCCAAUCUCACGGGAAGCAUUAAGGAAACUGUGCCGGCCCAGGAGCCAUAAUGUUCUGUAUGAUGCUUUGGGGAACAGACACAGUAUGCAUUUCCUCUAUCAUUACAUAUCUAUUUUUUAUUUUUUUUGUUAAUGCUAAAAACAUUUGUGCUCCUUAAUAUUCUUAGAAUAUUCUUAGGAUUCUUUGAUGAAACAGAACACAGAAUAACUGCAUUGCUAUGAUUAUUUCUAGAAGAAUAGAGAUCAGAGAUGACAAAAGAAAGGUAUCCCUGCAGGCACAA